GGUGCGAAAGGAUUUUGGCCAAUCCUCUCCUCGCGCGCGGCAUGCUUCCAGUCGUGGAACCCUAGACCCCUUUCCCCAAUCCCACGGCCGCCUCCAUCCUCCCGUGCUCCACCCCGAGCGGGCUCCGCCUCCUCCUCCUCCUCCACCAUCCCUUCUCCUGUCGCAGCCGCAUUGGGGAGGCCAGGUUUUCUCGCUGGGGGGGAGGAGCUGUGGACGGCCAGCAGGCCAGCGGCGGGAGGCAGCCAGGCCGGCCUGCCGUCUCUCCCCCGGAACUGGCCAGCGGCCGAAUUUCUGGCUGGGAUGAGGAGUUUGUCCUCCCUGCAAUGCUCGUCAUCGAGGACAGCCUGGUCUGCAAAUCGCGGCCCUCCUAUGCCGGGCUACACGACGGGUCUUACCGAACAGCGCUGGCCAGCAGCAGGUGCUAACCUUCGGUUUACCACUUGUCGCUUUGGUCUGACAGGAUGCUAGCAGUUGUAGUUCUGCUCAUUUGGAGGACACAUAUGGCAAACUGUGACAUCAUGAUAGCAGUUGCUCAGAGUGAUUGUUCCCAAUUAUUCUACAUUUUAAUUGUAUCGACUGGGCGACAGCGAGCGCCGGUGAGUGCAAGCAUGUGUCUCUAGAAGCGUCCUCUCCUACAAGGCAGGCAAGGACGACGUCAUCGCCCUCAUAGGUCCUCCUCCCAUCCCUUUUGCUCCCCCUGCCUCCUCACCUUGCCUUUGAGUCGGAUGCAAUGUAAGAUAGCCCGCAGGCAAGCUCAAGCUGGAGGCGAUGAAAUCCCUCUCUUGUGCCAGAAUCUAACUUCUUAUUUGUGCAGUGUUCUUUUGCUUCUAUGUACUGUUUUUGCUCUGACCAGAUCGUUCCCAUUUGUUUGGAGGUUCUACGAUCUGUUGCAUCUCUGUUCUUCUCGUUAAGGUUAGCUGCUCUAUUUCCUAGGUACACGUGUAUUAUCGUUUAUGUCGGUGCUAUCAUGGUGCUUGGUCUGCUGAUCAUUUUAAUGUUCUGGAUCUGGGGUGUGGCUGCAAGAGAGGGGAGGCAGCCAAUGACAGGGAGAAGGAGCAGGACGUCGAGGAGUGCAAGUAGAAGGCAAACACAUCGAGACAUUGGAAGAAAUAGACGUGUUGUACAAGGAGUGGGCUUUACAGUCUGGUAUUAAGCACCGGGUAGGAGUUCCUUCUUUUGGUGGUGAGCUCAUGUUCAUUUCAGAUCCGGUGGAUAUUACGGAAAUCCUGCCUUAUGUUUGCACAAUUGGCAGUUUCCAACCUUAGAGGCUCGGCAGGUUGGUUGGAUCUGUUGUAUGAGGUAGGCUUCAGGCCAACGGAAGAUGAUUUACCGGAUGACUGCCACCACAGUUUUUCGGGGUUCCGUGUGCACCUGUGACAUUCUGUAUAAAUUUGGAGGCCACAGGUGACAAUUGCUACAUCUAUUGUGUUCUGUCACCGUUUUUACCUUCGUCAGUCUCAUGCAACAAAUGAUAGACGAUCCAAUAGAAGUUGGCGCUGAAGCUAGCAGCAGACUCUGUAGAUGUCAAAACAACUUGUACUUUUGUGAACUGCAGGGGGUGGUUAUAAAAAGUAGGUAUUUUCUAUGAGGAUAAGAUGCACAGAUGUACACCCUCUUGGUGUGAUGUGGGGAUUUUAGUUUAGAAGAGCCUGAGACCUUGUUACUAAAUAGCAGUUCACAGAUGGGCACACCAUUUUAUCAAUUAUGCAGGGUUGAGGGUUUAUCAUGAAUAUUUUGGCUGGUACAGCUCUCAAACACCCAGCAGAGUUGAUUUAGGCCCAGUUACUCUUAAAUUAUUGAACGUGAAAGCAUUUGAAAAUCACCCUAUCCAUGAAGUAGUACCAAGCGUGUUUACUGAAAUAGGAGUGCAUGUGAUUUCUUGUGUUCUUAUCUGCAGCAGAAGUGGUAAUGGUGUGAUUUUCCUCUAUGUCUUGACAGAAUAUUAGUACUCUACACUAUUUGUUAUGCAGUUAUUCUUAUUUUUUCAUGGCGAAUGGGCAAAUGAAGUCUGAAUCUAACAUAUAUACAGACAAUCGCUACUGUCUGCAUGUUCUUGGCUAGAAGAGUCGAAGAAACACCUAGGCCUUUGAAGGAUGUCAUCCUGGUUUCUUACGAGCUUAUUUAAAAAGGAUCCUGCUGCUGGUCAGAAAAUCAAGCAGAGGGUAAUGUAAUGGAUCCAAUUUGAUGCUUCUUUUGCUAUGGAUUGUUCUUUGGUGAACCUUUUUCCCUUUAAAAAAGUUGUAGCAUGUCCAUGACCUGAUCUCACCCUAUAAAUCUUGUUGUUCUUAUACAAUAAUAGAAAAUAACUUCAGAAAUAUAGCCAGUAGAAGGCUGGCUAUUUCUAUCAGAAUCCUAACCUUUUCUCAUCAGUAUAUCAUUUAUUUUGGAAUUA
Triticum aestivum (bread wheat) is the source of this 2392-nucleotide long non-coding RNA. RefSeq lists it as uncharacterized. Lineage: Eukaryota; Viridiplantae; Streptophyta; Magnoliopsida; Poales; Poaceae. The record is from RefSeq and is a predicted model, not a curated record. The transcript is spliced from 8 exons.